Alligator mississippiensis (American alligator) is the source of this 3568-nucleotide long non-coding RNA. RefSeq lists it as uncharacterized. Lineage: Eukaryota; Metazoa; Chordata; Crocodylia; Alligatoridae. The transcript has 2 exons. The record is from RefSeq and is a predicted model, not a curated record.
UCUCGCCUGUUUCUCGGCGAAAGCGCCCCUGGGCGGAGCUCCCUUGUCCGGGGCCGCCGCGGUCCGGGCCCCAGGUCUCGGCAUCGCUCCCGCCGCAGUCCUUGUAUUUCUGGACGUCGCAACAACAUGCCUCGCAAACCGGACACAAAUCAAGCUCUGGCCGCAGGAGUUCCCAUGUGGGUGAGCUGAGCCCCGCGCUUCUCCGCAACUUGCUUCACUAGUUUGUCGAUCUCCGCAGAUUGCCUGUUAGACACGGGUUUACCGUGCGGGGCAGACAGCCCACCAGAGGGACAUGCCUGGCUGUUGGGAAACGGAUCUGUUUUCCUUUUGGGGGAGUGAGUCUGCAGGAGACGCUUUACCACAUCAGUGCCAGAUAAGCCUGCAGCAGGUUGCAGGCCUAAGGACAGUCCCAGAAGGAAGUUCCUGCCCCAAGAAGUCCUGCCUUUUUGUUGCCUUGCCAUUUUACUGUCUUGAGCCGUAACCAAGGAAGAGAGCGGGCACCACUUCCAAAACUUGGUGGAUCCUGUUGAAACUCACUGAUGCUCCUACCCAUCCUCCAGCUGCAUCUAGUGAGCCCCGAUGCCAUGGACGACGCACUGGAACAAGCAUCCCAGGCGCUUCUCAGCUUCCCUGCACCUCUGGGAAGAAGUGUCGCUGUGGGAACAGCUUUGAGAUCUCUUGCACCGGUUUCCCCACAAUUUCAUGUACUGGGAUCUCAUGUACCUUCUCCUUCCAUCUCUCUAGCCCAUAUCUCCAGAGGUGGCCAUGGUAUUGUUCACACAACCGGGGACUUGGUGUUCUCCCCAGAUCUGGAUUAUCUCCUUUCCCAAUUCCAUUUUUGAUUCCAAUCCUGAAUCCAGUCCUUCUGGUGCUACCUGGAGAGGUCGGACUGAGAAAGAUCUGACAAGGAUCAUGGAUACACCUACUCUGCACAGCCACCUCACUGAUCCAGAGCUCUCUUUAAAAGUUUCCUAGAGCAUCAACACUCAAGCAAAACGCUCCACUCAUCUUAGCGGCUUCAGCUGCAUCUGGCUAUCAACCUUUGGGAGGCACUGACAUCCCCAGCUAACAAUGCUUCUAGUCUCCCUCAGUUGGCUUUUACAAACCAGGAUGAGCAUGGGGUACAGUUCACAGUUGUCCCCCCCCCCCCAAACCCCCCUCUCCCAGCACCUACAACAUUGGGCAGCAGCAAUUGAAACUAAGUCAUGUAACCCAGACAAGACAGGAGUUCUCCAACUGCAAACUCUGACUCUGUUACAAGGGACAGCCCCCCAGCUGUGCUGGAUACCAGCAACUUCAAUUGAAAAGUAGGAGUUACUCUGAAACUCCUCACAGCAGACCACAGAAAACUCAUUUGGGGCAGGUGGGACCAUGUGGGACUGCCCUGGGCACUGUGCUCCACAUGCCUGUUUCCAGGAGGAUCGUGUUGGGGGCUGGACCAGGAAGGGCUGCUGUAGGGGCAGAUGAGAGCAUGUACGUGAUUUGGGACAUGCAGUAACAGAAUGAAAGGCAAAGAUGACUAUUAUUUAAAGUGGGGAGAGUACAGUGAUGUCUUGAUAACUGAGGCUAGGAGAAGGAUUGCAUCCUGAUGGUUAGGAUGGGGCAGGAAAGAAGCCCAAGAAACAGUACUGGUCACAGAAGUUCCCCUGCUCUUACAACUCAAGUCAGGAGACUCCUGUAAUGAGUUUUCUGUUUUCUCUCACUUUGCAGAGGAUGCCAUUGUCUGAACUGCUAGGCUCUAUAUUGGAAAGUGAGGAAAUGAGAGGAUAGUUCAUGUAACCCUGAGGACGAGGGUGCUCUUCCCUCCCCACCCCUGCCUGGUCAACAUGGAACCAAGGAGAGUUUCAAGGGAGAAGGAGCAGGAGGGGAAGGAGAGAGGACAAGGGGAGAGGUGAAUACAGAGAUACAAAAGAAGAGAACCUACGGGGAGAAGAGAAAAUGAGAUUGGGAAGUAAGAAACACCAGAGUAGGGACCAGGACCACGGAAGAGAUAGACACUGAGUGGGCACAGUAACUCCAGGAUUAAACUGUGCCUGGGAGCAAGUGCACACAUGUGCCUCUUGGGCACACAUUUGCACCCAACAGUAUCAGCCUGGUCCAGGACUGCACCUGUCCUGCUCUGCCCAAAUGAAAAACAGCCUGGGGGGAGCUCCAGUCUCUCCCCAUGCAAGCUCCAGGUUGGCAAGAGGCAUGGGAUCAGGCCUGGCCUUGGGGGCCUGGGGAGUGGGGGGAGCUGUCCCUGGCUCCAGAGGCAGCUCCCAGCCCCAUAGUCAGGUGCGGACGGUGUGCCUGGGAGAAGCAUGUGCUGGGUCCAGCCAACAGCUGAGGAGACGGGGCCGUGUGCCCAUACCAUACCUGUCCUUCUUUCCCCUGGAGUUGCAGUGGCAGUGAGGCCCAGAGCUUCCCCAUGGUCCGCAUCCUGCAGCCGUGGAAGAGGCUGGGGUUUUGGGCAGCAAGGAUCACACAGCUGUCCCAGGCCUGGGAACUGCCCUCACGCUGCUGAGCGGCUGAUACCUGGGCUGCUUAGGCCCCUGUUACCCUACAGUACCUCCAAUGACAGCAGAGCCUGGCCCAGCUUGGCGACAGCCAGGCUUGGCUCUGGGUAUCAUGAAGAGCAGGGGCCUUCGCUGGCGUGCUGCUGGGCCUGUUGCCCCCUACGCGAUUACCACACCAGUACAGGCCUGCUCCCAGUGCACCUGUGGAGCUCUCGGUAAGGGGCAGGUAUGCAAUGGUGUGCCAAGCCCCCAUGACCCAAUGCCUUCCUCUCUGCCUUGGGCGGUUUGCUCUCUGGGGCUCCAGCCGGCAUUGGGUUUGGGAGGGUUCGUAGCGUUGGGGUGAGGCUUGGGUGUGGGAUGGUUCCUCUUGUCCCAGGGCUCUUUGGGAAUCUUGAGAUGUCCUGGCUGGGCUGUGCUAUGGGAUUUGGGGGCUUUGCAAGCCAGUUCCUGUAGUGAGGUUGCUGGGAGUCUGCUGCAUGGGGCUGCUGGAGCAGCCUGCUCAAGGAUUCAGUGAAGGAUGAGAGAAUAGGAAAAGUUUAGAGCUGCCUGUGUGGGAUUUCUGGAGGUCUGUUCAGCCUCCUCCUUCCUAAACACACCAGGGUUGGCCCUUUGGCUCCCAUGGGUGGGUUGGGUCUGGGAGGGUUUGUAGUGGUGGGGUCAGGCUUGGCUGUGGGAGGGGUCCUCUUGGGGUGCAUGUUCCCAGCAGGGGAUCUCUCAGCUGGGUGCAGUGUUGGGGUUUGGUGGUUUCACCUGGUUUGUGCAGUGAAGAUGUUCUGCUCACAUGCCUGGGGGAUGCUGGAGCACCUCGAGCUCGGUGAGGGUUAGAGAAUGGGGAUUUACAGCUGCCUUUUUCCUUGGCAAUGGUAGGGCUCCCAGCGCUGCUCCUUCUCCAACCUUGGGACCAACUGCACUAGCCUGGACAUUUUUCGGGGAUGCCUGACUCGUGACUCCCACACCCAUUGGCGGAUUAAAUGUUAUAGGUGCCCUGAGCAAACAGAAAAUUGGAGGCCCCCUCACCCCAUUAUAAACAUGUAUGUAUCAAGAAGCAUUAAUAAAUAGACCUGUUAAAUGUU